GAUGAACGCUGGCGGCGUGCCUAAUACAUGCAAGUCGAACGAAACUUCUUUAUCACCGAGUGCUUGCACUCACCGAUAAAGGGUUGAGUGGCGAACGGGUGAGUAACACGUGGGCAACCUGCCCAAAAGAGGGGGAUAACACUUGGAAACAGGUGCUAAUACCGCAUAACCAUAGUUACCGCAUGGUAACUAUGUAAAAGGUGGCUAUACUACCGCUUUUGGAUGGGCCCGCGGCGCAUUAGCUAGUUGGUAGGGUAAAGGCUUACCAAGGCAAUGAUGCGUAGCCGAAUUGAGAGGUUGAUCGGCGACAUUGGGACGGAGACACGGCCCAAACUCCUACGGGAGGCAGCAGUAGGGAAUCUUCCACAAUGGGCGAAAGCCUGAUGGAGCAACGCCGCGUGGGUGAAGAAGGUCUUCGGAUCGUAAAACCCUGUUGUUAGAGAAGAAAGUGCGUGAGAGUAACUGUUCACGUUUCGACGGUAUCUAACCAGAAAGCCACUGCUAACUACGUG
Molecule: ribosomal RNA, 512 nt
Filed under: uncultured bacterium
Lineage: Bacteria
Description: partial 16S ribosomal RNA
Rfam family: Bacterial small subunit ribosomal RNA
Source: RNAcentral